AACAGAAGCCGGAGACCUUUUAUUAUAGCUCCUGUACCCACGGGGGAGGCGGAGCUUCGGCUCCUUCUGAGCAGACACACGCUGGCCCCUCCCCCACGAGGCCAAACAAACAAACAGUGGCGUUCAGGUGCGGCACGCAGGAAUUCAACCAGUUCGUCUCCUAACGUUUCCUUAAGCAAGUGACAGGGGGCGACAUCAACGAUGAACGCGCAGGACGCUGGGGUUUCAGUGCGUCCGGCCGAGCUGCAUCACCUGAAGCGUCGUGACGGCACCGCGUCAUUGUGCGGUUCCCCAGUUUCGCCCCAGUCCUCGCAAACACGCGUUCACGCAUCAUUAAUGGGUCCGCACAUGAUCCCUGCUUGUUCAGCACUAAGGUGUGAAGCAGCGGCUCGUUCCCGAGGCCCAUCGAAACAACCGUUUGAUCCCGGUGUCAACAAAAGCCUGCGUGUUUCUUAAUACUUGAUCCUGCAUCCAGUGAAACAGGAUGAGACUUCAGCUUUGAGCCUAUGGAACAGACUUUAAAUUUGAAAAUUCAUUUGCAUUAUUUUACGUUUAAUUUUAUUUUGUACUUCGUGUGGGCUUAAUUUAAUUCUGCUUCUAAAUUUUCUAAAACUUUGUUCUUAAAACUUCAUUUGUUUCAUUUGUCCAACAAUAGUAAAUAUAAGUUUUGGGUGUGAGGGGUUUCUUUCAUCAGCAACUCUGCAGAUGCAACAUUUGUUUACUUCUGAUGCUACAAAGAUGAAGACGAUCUCUAAUGGUCUUACAUUGAUGUGCUGUUUGUGAAAAACAGAUGGAAAAAGUAAUUCAAUGUUGUAACUAAUUCGCAUGAACUCUAAUAAUAAUUGUAUCUGGUUUGAAUUAAGUGAGCUCUUCUCAGCCUCCUUUGUGUUUUGUGAGAGGCAGCAUCCUGCAGCUCACUGCCUUUAUAGUCCAGUAUUUUUACCAUGUGGGACUUACGUAAAACAAAUUCCUGGAGUGUGUAGGAGCCAAGUGGAAAUGGGCUCUGCUUCCUGAGGUAAAACUGGACAAUUACUUCCUUUACUUUCACCCUGCAACAGCCACCUACAGCCGCAGUAGCUGAGGAGGCAGGAAGGCUGACUUUACAUCCAUGAUAAGGCUAAUGUCACAGAAAUAAGCAGGUUAAGUUGGGUCAAAGCAGACAAAACGCACAAAACCUCAACCAACAAACCAACAACCGGGACACAGAUGAAGGUGAAAAAGUCUGAGCCUGGGUUUCUCCCUUCUUUCUAAACAGGAGACGCUUCCAGCUCCAGUGUUUUCUUAGCACAAUUACUUAAGAUUCCAGUCAGAUAGAGCCGAGGCAUAUAUCGCAAGCACAGAUAAACAGACGCUUUAACUUGCUCAGUUGUUUGUUCAAAAGCCAUUCUAUCAUCUAAACAUGUCAUUCAGUCGUUUGUCGAUCAAAUCGCUCCGUCGUCGUGUCUCAUGUUUCCUCCUGCUUAUUGAGGAUAAUGGGUAAAGAAAACACAGCUUUGAUACGAGACUUUAAUGUUUGAACUGAUACAUGAAUAACUGAAUGUAAAGAAUAACGCUGACAGCAAUAGACAGCAUUGCUGACAAAUUCUAAUGGAAAAAUAUCACACACUGUAAAAAACUGUAUAAAUGUUUGAAAUAAAUGUACACCUCAAUAUAAAUAUGUGUAGCAUGAGGUUUAUCUGUUUGGAAGAUGGCAGGUGAAUCUUACAAAGCUGUGAAUACUGUAAACCUAUAAUGGGAGGAUGCAAAUUUUAGCCAUGACCCCAACCACCACAUCAGUAAAACAAAUGUGAAAGACCGUGUUCAGAAUGGCCUUACUUCCAGACUUCCAGAACACACACACACACCAAUUAUCCUGCGUCACCCACAAAGUGAGGGGGAAACCCAGCGGUUAUCUUAGGUAAAUACGCAGAGUUGCAUGGCAUGAAAACAACGUGAUUACAGACUAAAAAGUAAAGUGCAACGACCGCAUGGAGACGGGCUGGAUAUCAGAAGGAGACGGGGGAGAGGAAAUAAGAAGGAAGGCAUUAUGGGAGAGGAGCUUAAAGGAACUCUGGCCUGAAGUAAACAGCAGCACUGCUUUUUCUGAGUCUGACACCUGGUUGGACAAACAAAGAUUUACAGGUAUUUAUGUCUGACCUGACUCAUUGGACUUGGGUUAAACGGGAUCAGGACUGAAUGUGACUGUAGAAUUAAUGUCCCAAAAACCUAAGGUUUACUAAUUAUCAACCAACUACUGGUGGACUCCUACAGUAUGUUAAGUAUAUCUGACCAAAUUCUCAAAGACAAGAAUAUCCAACAUGAAGAUUCAUGAAACUACAGUAAGAUACAGAUCAAGGCAGUGAUCACUGAGUAACGUGCUAAAAGGUUUAACUUGGUGGUGGAUAGAUAUGGGUGCAUUGGGCAAUAAUGAAGCCAUUAGCAGCUCGCUGUUAGCCUAAUGAGAUCAGGGGCCACAGACUUAUCAGUCGUCAGCACAAUGUUGGUUGAUUUAGGCAUCCUGUGUGCGUGAUCAGGAUUAGGCGUAAUUAGGAGCCUGAAUAGCAAUGAUGAUCCAUUGGGCCAGAGUCACACAGUUAGUGAUGUUGACUGGGAUAUGUUCAAAAAUUGUGUGGUAAUAAAAAAAAAGAAAAA
This is a long non-coding RNA of Betta splendens (Siamese fighting fish), 2631 nucleotides long. RefSeq lists it as uncharacterized. The transcript is spliced from 2 exons. Lineage: Eukaryota; Metazoa; Chordata; Actinopteri; Anabantiformes; Osphronemidae. The record is from RefSeq and is a predicted model, not a curated record.